GACGAACGCUGGCGGCGUGCUUAACACAUGCAAGUCGAACGGAAAGGCCCUGCUUUUGUGGGGUGCUCGAGUGGCGAACGGGUGAGUAACACGUGAGUAACCUGCCCUUGACUUUGGGAUAACUUCAGGAAACUGGGGCUAAUACCGGAUAGGGGCUCCUGCUGCAUGGUGGGGGUUGGAAAGUUUCGGCGGUUGGGGAUGGACUCGCGGCUUAUCAGCUUGUUGGUGGGGUAGUGGCUUACCAAGGCUUUGACGGGUAGCCGGCCUGAGAGGGUGACCGGCCACAUUGGGACUGAGAUACGGCCCAGACUCCUACGGGAGGCAGCAGUGGGGAAUAUUGCACAAUGGGCGGAAGCCUGAUGCAGCAACGCCGCGUGCGGGAUGACGGCCUUCGGGCUGUAAACCGCUUUCGCCUGUGACGAAGCGUGAGUGACGGUAAUGGGUAAAGAAGCACCGGCUAACUACGUG
RNAcentral lists this ribosomal RNA (468 nucleotides) under uncultured bacterium. RNAcentral's name for it is "partial 16S ribosomal RNA". It matches the Rfam family "Bacterial small subunit ribosomal RNA", at positions 28 to 507 of the family's 1533-position model. The record is from RNAcentral.